RNAcentral lists this transfer RNA (73 nucleotides) under Pararhodobacter aggregans. It matches the Rfam family "tRNA". Rfam says of the family: Transfer RNA (tRNA) molecules are approximately 80 nucleotides in length. Their secondary structure includes four short double-helical elements and three loops (D, anti-codon, and T loops). Further hydrogen bonds mediate the characteristic L-shaped molecular structure. tRNAs have two regions of fundamental functional importance: the anti-codon, which is responsible for specific mRNA codon recognition, and the 3' end, to which the tRNAs corresponding amino acid is attached (by aminoacyl-tRNA synthetases). tRNAs cope with the degeneracy of the genetic code in two manners: having more than one tRNA (with a specific anti-codon) for a particular amino acid; and 'wobble' base-pairing, i.e. permitting non-standard base-pairing at the 3rd anti-codon position. The record is from Rfam by way of RNAcentral. Lineage: Bacteria; Pseudomonadati; Pseudomonadota; Alphaproteobacteria; Rhodobacterales; Paracoccaceae.
GCCGGUGUAGCUCAGUUGGUAGAGCAACGCUCUUGUAAAGCGAAGGUCGGGGGUUCGAGUCCCUCCACCGGCA